This 226-nucleotide unclassified non-coding RNA is filed under the name Hevea brasiliensis (rubber tree). The record is from RNAcentral. Lineage: Eukaryota; Viridiplantae; Streptophyta; Magnoliopsida; Malpighiales; Euphorbiaceae.
GCCCCAUCUGCUGCCUAAGGCUAUAUCAGUAGUAGCAGUAAUUUGUAUAGGGAUGGAUCCAUAUAAGGCUUUGUUUAGGUGAAACAUUUAUAUUUUUUGCGAACCCCCAUGUAUUAAAUUGGGGUAGUUUUCUUCUGUGAGGACAUUUUAUCCCUCCUUUGUAUUGUUGGUUUCUGACUGUUUUUCAAUUAAUAUAAGAUAUAAACAGAGUGUUUUUACUGUAAAA